GCCGACUGAACCGCUGAGAAUUUUCUUGUAUUUAUAUACAGAGUCGCCAGAAGUAAAAGCUCUUCUAUUCCCUCGGAGAUUGCGCUUCAAUUAUGGUAUCAAUAAGGCGCCUUGCCAGAGCUCUUCACUCUCAUUACAGAACCCUAGCUUCUCCUUCCCUUCAUCAAUCUACUAACCUUCCGCACAAUGGAAUUUUUGGGUGUAAACAACGUACAUAUUUUUCAAGAUCAGUACCUUCAACUACUUUUCCUGCCAU
RNAcentral lists this unclassified non-coding RNA (256 nucleotides) under Hevea brasiliensis (rubber tree). Lineage: Eukaryota; Viridiplantae; Streptophyta; Magnoliopsida; Malpighiales; Euphorbiaceae. The record is from RNAcentral.